Molecule: ribosomal RNA, 228 nt
Filed under: uncultured Planctomycetota bacterium
Lineage: Bacteria; Pseudomonadati; Planctomycetota
Description: uncultured planctomycete partial 16S ribosomal RNA
Rfam family: Bacterial small subunit ribosomal RNA
Source: RNAcentral
AGCACGUAGGUGGGUUUGUAAGUCAGACGUGAAAGCCUUCUGUUCAACGGAAGAAUUGCAUCUGAAACUACAAACCUUGAGUGUAGGAGGGGAGAAUGGAACUUCUGGUGGAGCGGUGAAAUGCGUAGAUAUCAGAAGGAACGCCGGCGGCGAAAGCGAUUCUCUGGCCUAUUACUGACACUCAGUGUGCGAAAGCUAGGGGAGCAAACGGGAUUAGAUACCCCGGUA